RNAcentral lists this long non-coding RNA (1778 nucleotides) under Felis catus (domestic cat). RNAcentral describes it as "lncRNA (ENSFCAG00000048685.1)". The record is from RNAcentral. Lineage: Eukaryota; Metazoa; Chordata; Mammalia; Carnivora; Felidae.
AUUUAUUAUUUUAUUCUUUUUGGCAUGUAUUUUCCCCUUCCUCCUCAGUUCCCCACUGCUGCCCAUAAAAUCCCAAAUCUUAUUCAAGGCCUAUCUCAAAUAGUCUUCCUCCUAAGAAGCCUGGUUUUGUUUUUUGUUUUAAUAUUAUUUCUUGUGAUCUCUUCUUACCUCAUACACUGUAUAUGCUUAACUCACAUUGUAUUGUGCUAUGUGUAUGCUGCAUAUGGCUAGGUCCUCUGGGACAGGGAUUGUGCCUUUUUCCUUUCAGUGUCACCUGUGGGACCAAGCACAGACCUAUAUGCAGUGGGCCCUAAAUAAACAUUUGCUGAAUUAAAAAUGUUAAGUAUUUCUGGUUUUCCCAGUCCUUUAUACAAUAAUUUGUGUCUGCUGAUGAUCCAAACCUCUUUGCUCACUUUCGAAGGCCUGCAAAAUCCCUCCAGAACAAAGCUCAGCCUGCGGCAUGACUCAGCAAUACAGGGUCUGCGUGCAUUCCCGGCUCUGGUAGCUUCUACAGAAUGGAAGGAAGUUUGUUUCAGCCACACCAGGGGGCAGUGUGACACACGUCUGCAUGGCCAUCAAGGCAGGCCUUCCUGUUUAGUGAAGUUAGACAAAGAGUGCUGGAGACGUGACACAUGACUAGACUAAGUUGGAGAUGGACUUUGUUGGGAGACCGUUUCCUGGGGGCCAGCGAAAAGUUAGAGUCUAGACGUCUGAUGAAAUCUUUGAACAGGAACACCAACCAUGGACCACCUAUCUCCAGAUUUUUAUGUGAGAAAAAGAGUAAAAGAGUAAGCACACACAAAAUGUAGUAUAGCCAUCCUUCCAGACUUUAAUUUGUGAACUCACAUGCAUGUAUAUGUGCACUUACACACAUAGGCACACACAUAUUUAAAUACUAUUGAUGAAGGAAAUUUUCAACUUUGAAUGUUUGUGGGCCCUAAUCCUGGGCUCCCAGGGAAGCUAUACUUGAACAUUUAGCAUGGUCAGAAUGGCUCAGAAAAACCUCAAAGCAUGGGCUCUAUUUCUACCCCAAGCACACAUUGUCUAUCUGCUUCAUUUAAAAAUAAUAAUCAUAAGGAGCAUUCCAAACAUAAAGGUAAGAAAAAGAAAAAACCUCCCCCUGGUUUCUCUAAGAUGGAAGUCAAAGAGCCUUGCACAUAAAAACUAAGAUCAUGUCUAUAACUUUCCAGAGCGUCCUUCAUAAUGAUUUGUAACUCUAUGUAAAAAAACAAAAAACAAAAAACAAAAAACAAAAACCUAUGUAACACUGCACCGAAUGUUUCUUUCCUGGAGCACUCUUAUUUGUGAAGAUCAUCUAUCCAGGCAGCUGUCCUAACUUGGGCUCAAAUGAAACUUUUCCUUGCUCUUUAUAAUUUUUAAAAAGGUUUGUUCGUUUUUCAGCACUAUGCAUGGGAAAUUGUCACUUUUUUCCAUUUAACAUUAUUUCGGAGCCAAUUUCCAUGCCGAUAAAUACAAAUCAAUGUAAAGCAACCAUUUAGAGUGGCUAUCUGCUAUUUCAAUGUAUAAAUGCAUUUCAGUUUAUUUUAGCAGCCUUCCAUUGAUGAGCGAUUGUGGUUGUCAUCGUUUUUAAAGCUUCCUCCUAUUCUAAACAAUCCUGUGCUGAACAUCUUUAUAUGUCACUGGGCACAUUUGCUUUACUACUUCCUUGGAAUUAUUUCUCAGAAAAAGAAGUUCUCAGGCGCUCACCUGACUGGAAGACAACUGAUCUGUCAAGGGUUGAAGUCAAUAAAAGCAACAAGGAGCCAAAAUUAAGGUCA